CGUAGGGUGCAAGCGUUGUCCGGGAUUAUUGGGCGUAAAGAGCUCGUAGGCGGCUUGUCGCGUCGGCUGUGAAAACCUAGGGCUCAACCCUGGGCUUGCAGCCGAUACGGGCAAGCUAGAAUUCGGUAGGGGAGACUGGAAUUCCUGGUGUAGCGGUGAAAUGCGCAGAUAUCAGGAGGAACACCGGUGGCGAAGGCGGGUCUCUGGGCCGAUAUUGACGCUGAGGAGCGAAAGCGUGGGGAGCGAACAGGAUUAGAUACCCUGGUAGUCCACGCCGUAAACGUUGGGAACUAGGUGUGGGCUCCAUUCCACGGAGUCUGUGCCGCAGCUAACGCAUUAAGUUCCCCGCCUGGGGAGUACGGCCGCAAGGCUA
This 373-nucleotide ribosomal RNA is filed under the name uncultured organism. Its description in RNAcentral is "bacterial SSU rRNA". It matches the Rfam family "Bacterial small subunit ribosomal RNA", at positions 526 to 896 of the family's 1533-position model. The record is from RNAcentral.